GAGAGCGCGCGCGGCCGACCCUGCCGGGAGCUCGGAAAAAAAGAAAGGAGGCCGGGCCCCGGGGAGCCGGCGGCUGGCCGGGGACUCGCGUUCGCCUUCCGUCGGUGACUCGCGGGGCUCGGGAAACCUGACGGUAGAGAAUAAACUGAAAGCUGACCCUGUAGCCAACUGCCCGGCGCAGACUCACGCUUGGAACUAGGACCCUAGCUAGGUACAGCUUCAAGGAUUCGCAAAAGAUUUCAGGGGGUAUACCGCAAUAGGCCCAAACUGGAACGAAAGUGCAAAAUGUUCCAACUUUAGGAUGCAAAGGUAUUUAGAGCAGCGUGCUCCUAGAAAGAACCAGGAGUCACGUUGGUGGGAAGAAAACAAAAUCGUGCGUCUCCUUCGAGCCGGAAUCGAACCAGCGACCUAAGGAUUUCUUUUGUUGGAAAGCCAACUACAGUCCUCCGCUCUACCAGCUGAGCUAUCGAAGGGACAAGAUAACUCGGCGCCUCUUGAGGUUCAACACAUAGGAAACGGAAUGUGUAAAACCACUGGCUAGUGGUCAAAUCAAAUAUGUGUAACCACGAAGAUAGAGGAAAGAAAGUGUGUUAUAGAGGAAACUUAUCUGAGAAGAGAUGAAUCUGGACAACAUCUCAGGAGUGAAGAUACUUGGGUACCAGACCAAAUUAUUCAGAAGUAAACAGUAAAAAACCCUCACUAGGUUGGAGGACAGUUGCCCUGGAAAUGGACGUUUACCUUCAUAUCAAUGAGGAAGAGAGAGCAGUCUGCUGAAAAUUUUAACAAGACAGCUCUGUAAUUGGGUCAGGGGCUUGACUGGCUCCAAGUUAACACAUUUAUUUUUGUAUUAAUUUAUGUUUGCAUAUACAAGCAUUUAAUAUGCUAAGCCACCCUAAAAACUAAGGAUUCUAGCAGCGUUUAUGUUUCUAGCUGGUAACAAUUUCCCUAUUUUACAACACAGAUUUUAAACAUUUAGUCUUUUAACAAAUAUUCCCUGACUGCCAUGUGUCAGGUGCUGUUUUAAGUCCUGGGGACUCAGCAUUCACAAAGAUGGACAAAAACUUUGCUCUUGUGGUGUGGCAGACAGAGAAUAAGAUAAAAAGUAUGUUAAUGAAAGGUACUAAGGAGAAAAAGUAGAAGAGAAUAGGGAGCGUGAGGUGGGGAAUGGCAUAGGUCUAGGCAGAGUGGUCUGGGAAAGCCCGCAGCAAAAUGAUGUGAGGAAAGACUGGGGAAAGUCCCUUCAUGCUCUAAAUAUGUUAUAUGUUGUAAAUUAAUCUCACUGUGACUUGGAGCUGCAGUUUGACAAUUUGAAAGAAAUUUCACCUCAGUCAGGUUUUGAGAGUCUCUCCCCUACCUAGGAUGUAAGGGGUCUGCAGGGUUUCAUGUCUUUGUCCUCCAAGUGAGUUUUGAGCCCCUAGUCUUGCUCCAGCCUUGUUGCUCCUGAGGUCUCUAUGUCCAGUCCUGCAUGGUUCCUUUCAGGGCCCAGAUGUGGACACAUGAAUCUUUAGUUAUGGCUACAAAGCCAUGACUUCCUUUUGUCCCCCAGGCAUCCAAGUGCUCUCUCAUCAUAGGGGCUCUCCCCUGUGGGGACACAAGUCUGGGCUCCCUAAAAACUAAGGAUUCCAGCAGUGUUUAUGUUUCUAACUGGUAACAAUUUCCCUAUUUUACAACACAGAUUUUAAACAUUUAGUCUUUUAACAAAUAUUCCCUGACUGCCAUGUGUCAGGCGCUGUUUUAAGUCUGAUAUAGGUCCUUGUCCCUUACCAAAUACUUCUUUUUUUCACUCCAUCCUGAGUCUCAACUUUUCACCUUCGUCCCUUGUCUUCCCCGUUUCUCAGUACUCCGUCUCCUUCCUUGUCCUUCUCCUGUGUCUACUCCUGUGUAUAAUACUCUGGAAACUCCCCUCAAACCUCCCAAACCCAUCUUUCAUCCAGAAGCCCAUCAGAAUGGGGCUACUUCUCUUCCUUGGAUUUCAGCACACACCUUCUGACGGUCCAAGCCACUAAACAAAUGCCUGAGUGGUCGUUUUCCAGGUGUCUCUCUACCUUUGUUUUUAACCUCUAAGUGUGUGGUAGCAAGGAAGUA
This is a long non-coding RNA of Manis javanica (Malayan pangolin), 2085 nucleotides long. RefSeq lists it as uncharacterized. Lineage: Eukaryota; Metazoa; Chordata; Mammalia; Pholidota; Manidae. The record is from RefSeq and is a predicted model, not a curated record.